Pectinophora gossypiella (pink bollworm) is the source of this 352-nucleotide long non-coding RNA. RefSeq lists it as uncharacterized. The transcript is spliced from 2 exons. The record is from RefSeq and is a predicted model, not a curated record. NCBI's taxonomy places the organism in Eukaryota, Metazoa, Arthropoda, Insecta, Lepidoptera, Gelechiidae.
AAAGAGAACCGGCGUGGCGUAAAAUGGAACUAACAUUAUGAUUUUUACAUGGCAACCCAAUCCAGCCAUCUGUCAAAUGUCAAACGUGAUUUCGCAUUGAUACAGUUUUUUGUCGUGUUGUUUUCUUGUGAUUUUUGAUUAAAAUCAUGUCGAAAAGAGGUAAAACCUUACGCAGUUCUACAAGGGAAUUAAUAUUUAAUAUUAUUCAGUUUUGCCAGAGAGAGAAAUCCGCGAAACACACCAUUAUUGACCUAAACAAAGUCACGGAACGUGUGGCAGCUAUGUCCUGCUUAAGUAGAGAUACAAUAUCUAAAAUAAAAAAAGAAGGUUCCACAAAUAACGGCGUGUGGUG